GUGAGAGCAUGGCAGGGCUGAGGGGAUGGAGGGGCCAGCAGGGAGCACAGAGGGCUCCGGGACUGCAGCUCUGCCAGGCCUUGGAACCAAUUCCAGAGCCUCCACUUUUGCCACAGCUGUAAUGACCACAAGGACAGCUGGAGACUGCCGGGAGCCAGCAGGGAGAAGCCGAGGGCCAGCAGCAGGAGCAGUGAGCGGGGCCCUGCUGCUGCCAGCCUGGAGAGGGCCCGGAUGUGCCAUCUGCUGUCCCUGGCCAGGAGAUCUUCCAAACUUCAUCUGCAGGCUCAGAAGAACCGGUGUCCUUUGGCCACCCUCAGUUCCCUCUGAAGAUGGGAUCACCUGCAGAGCAGAGGGGACCAGCUGCAGCUCCAGGCCCAGCUCUUGCCGGUCACAGCUGAGCCUGUGGCAAGCUCCAGGAGCUGCUGCCAUCUCCCUCCCUGUUGGUAGCUCACUCCCUCCAGUCCCCAGGCCCUGCCCAUCCACCUUUUUCCCUCCCAGCUCACCCCUUCGCUUUGCCUUCCCUUAUUAAACAGUUUGGCUUUUUCAUUUGA
Passer domesticus (house sparrow) is the source of this 551-nucleotide long non-coding RNA. RefSeq lists it as uncharacterized. The transcript has 2 exons. The record is from RefSeq and is a predicted model, not a curated record. Lineage: Eukaryota; Metazoa; Chordata; Aves; Passeriformes; Passeridae.